GUGGCGGGCACCUGUAGUCCCAGGUACUCAUGAGGCUGAGGCUGGAGAAUGGCGUGAACCCAAGAGGUGGAGCUUGCAGUGAGCUGAGAUUGAGCCACUGCACUACAGCCUGGGCAACAAAGUAAGACUCCGUCCCAAAAAAAAAAAGUUGUGUUUUUUGGUAACAAUCUGACAGUCCUGCAAAACGAUUAUUCCUGCCCUAUAAUGUCACACUUAGUUUUUCCACAAAAGUUUUUAAUAAUAAAGUUGGAAUUAUUGUAAAAGUUUAGUAAAAUUUCAGGAUGGUCUCGAUCUGACCUCGUGAUCCGCCCGCCUCGGUCUCUCAAAGUGCUGGGAUUACAGGCGUGAGCCACCGCCCCCAGCCGUCCUCGAGUUCCUUCUUAAAGCCUCUAAGAAUCCUGCCCGCCAGCACCGGACCUUUCGCUUCCCCUUGGGGUCUCAGCUGAGUCCCACAGAACCUCACCGGACUCAUUGUCUAUGAGCAGAUGAGGCGAUGGCUGUGCUCCAGCAUCACGACGCCGUCAGCGGCACCUCCCGCCAGCACGUGGCCAACGACUACGCGCGCCAGCUUGCGGCAGGCUGGGGGCCUUGCGAGGUUCUUCUGAGCAACGCGCUGGCGCGGCUCAGAGGCUUCAAAGAUCACUUCACCUUUUGCCAACAGCUAAACAUCAGCAUCUGCCCGCUCAGCCAGACGGCGGCGCGCUUCCAGGUCAUCGUUUAUAAUCCCCUGGG
Molecule: long non-coding RNA, 732 nt
Filed under: Homo sapiens (human)
Lineage: Eukaryota; Metazoa; Chordata; Mammalia; Primates; Hominidae
Description: non-protein coding lnc-WDR83OS-3:1
Source: RNAcentral